AACCAGCUCAGAGUGAACAUUUUUGCCCCAGUCCUGCCCUUGUGUUUCCAGCUGGUUCUUCCAUCUGCUCAAUAUGUUUAACCCAAAACUGUUUGGGGUGGAAGCGCAGUUGCUGUACCUGGAUUUGCAUUUCCCAUCCUGAAUUGCCUCAGGAGAAAACCAAAAAUGCACAUUUUUAAAGAUUUCUCUUUUUUGCCAUGGAAUGUUGGGAUAUUCCUGUGGUUUGGAGGAAGAAAUGCAAGUCUGCCCCUUUCCUCCCCCGCUGAUUCCAGUGUUUGAAGAGGCAGCUGCAUCCCAAACCAGAAUCUCCUCUCUAAAACCAGUAUCUCACAUCCCAAUUUCAGGACAUUCUCUUUAAAAAAAAAAUAAUUAUCAGCAUUAAUUUAAUGAGGUUCAGGUUUUAAAACACUUUUUAAGCAUUAAUUUCAGGAUUGGCUGAAUUCCUGAACUAUUUAUUCCAGUGUAAAAUGCUGGAAUUCAGGAUUUAGAGCUGACAGGUCCGAUAGUUUUGGUGAAUAUUUGUAAUUAAAAAUUCCCAUUUCCUAAUACAACUCAUGUCAAUUCUUAAGGAAAAAAAAUUGCAAAAUUCCUGGAGAUGGAUGACAAGCAGAAUAAAUCCAUGAACUCCCAGCACAGGCUGCACUGAUGCUGGAAUUCUGGGAGGUUGGUGUGGGGAAUGUGUGAGGGUCAGAGUAUUCCCCGUGGGAAAAGGCCAAAGCUGGGAUUGUACAAAAUUUGGUGUUUUGAGGCACUGACCUUGGCUGCUCCCGGGUUUUCCCUGGUCCCAGCGCUCCCGGUUUGCUGCUCCUGGAGCCCGUGUGUGUUUGGAGCUGUGUCCAUGGAGAUGAGGAGCUGAGGUCACAGUGUGAUCCCAGCCCCAGCCAGCUUCCACAGUGGGAUCUGAUCCCCAGGGAGGCUCUGCAGGAGGAUCCCAUCCCCAGGACAGCACCCCCAGAUCCUUUCCCAGCUUUCCUGACUCUGUCCCAAGCCUGGAGCCAUCCUUGGGGUUGUUGUGUCCCCAGGGCAGGACACAGCACUCGGUCACACUGACCCUCACACCACUGACCCCUGCCCGUGGAUCCCAUCCCACCAACCCAGCCUGGCCAGAUCCCUCUGUGGGGGGAUCCAGCCUCAGAUCCAGCCUCAGAUCCAGGCUCAGAUCCAGGCUCAGAUCUCCAGCCUCAGAUCCAGCCUCAGAUCUCCAGCCUCAGAUCUCCAGCCUCAGAUCCAGCCUCAGAUCCAGCCUCAGAUCUCCAGCCUCAGAUCUCCAGGCUCUGCAGCUCCUGGAGCUGCCUCUGCUUCCCAAACCUUCAGCUUUCCCUGGCUGCUCCCAGGGCAGCUUGCUGCAUUGAAUUUAGCAGGCUUUAUGGAAUUUAUGUAUCUGGAACAGUUCAUGAUUAUUUUAGUUUCUUGAAAACCUUGGGAACUGUGUGGAAAGAUGGAUGUUGACAUAAAAAGAAGCUGUUUCCACUUUCAUAAAGAUGGUGGCAAAAAUCAAGAAAUCGAGGAGUUUUGUUGUAACAUGAGGUGGAAAACUGGGAAACAAAGGUAAGAAUGGUAGAGAAAAAAAAAAGGAUGGAAGAAGCAGACUAAAUAUGGCAAAAAAAGC
This is a long non-coding RNA of Parus major (Great Tit), 1609 nucleotides long. NCBI's taxonomy places the organism in Eukaryota, Metazoa, Chordata, Aves, Passeriformes, Paridae. The record is from Ensembl.